RNAcentral lists this long non-coding RNA (933 nucleotides) under Vigna radiata. Its description in RNAcentral is "long non-coding RNA (VRAD_LNC002092)". The record is from RNAcentral. Lineage: Eukaryota; Viridiplantae; Streptophyta; Magnoliopsida; Fabales; Fabaceae.
GGGGGGUUGUGAAUGUGUUUGAGAUGACAAUUAAACUAAAUUAAAGCAUGGAAAUUAAACACAACCGAAUAUAAUUAAAAGCAUUUAAAUAAAUGAACAAGAAGAAAGACCGAACGGUCCUACAAAUGACCGAAUGGUUCUACAUUGAGACCGAGCGAUCUCUAAAGCAAGUGGAGAAGUCAGAAAAGUAGGAAGAUAAAGAAACGCAAUAGAAUAAACACCGUAGUGAACUGAAACAAUAAACUGAACGUAACAGACAACAUUAUGAACGAAUAAAGUAAACUGAACAAUGCAAUAGAUAAACAUCCCAACACAACCAAAGCUAAUAAAAUGCAAUGCUUGAACUAAAAAGAAUUGAAAGACAACUAAAGUAAACAAAUAUGAAACACUAGAAAUAAAAGAGGAAAAUCACAUUGUAGCGGGAAUUUAAAUUACAAAAACCAUUAACCAUUUAGGAUGCAGCAGAAGUAAAGUGCCAAAUUGUUCAACCAAUGCAUGAAAUGCCAAAGAAACCGCGGGAAUCAAAUUAACCUUAAAAAAGAAGAAGUCUUAAACGCUUUGACUUGAAAUAAAAGAAAUGCAACGUUCAACACAAGCACAAUGCAACUUCAAAGCAUAAAUGCAUCUUCCAUGAAUUAUAAAAAGAAAGCAACUAUUAAAUUAAAGAAAAAUUAUGUGAGACUGAUUGUAUUAAAUAAGAGAAAACCGAAUAACAAACAUGAAACUCUAAGCAAAGUGAAAUGAUAAGCAUCUAUCUCUUGCUGAAAGCAACUAUGUGCUGACCCGCUAAAUGAGAUAUAAAUCUCCUUUCUCUAACGCAAAUGGCGGCUACAGCUUCUACAAGAAAAGAGAUUAAAACUCUACUUCACAUCUCCAUCCAUAACUCUCCAAACUUCAGAAAAUAAAACAACCUCCAAGCUAUCUACUACCCUC